GAUGAAGAACGUAGCGAAAUGCGAUACGUAAUGUGAAUUGCAAAUUCAGUGAAUCAUCGAGUCUUUGAACGCACAUUGCGCCCCCUGGUAUUCCGGGGGGCAUGCCUGUCCGAGCGUCAUUGCUGCCCUCAAGCACGGCUUGUGUGUUGGGCCCCGUCCUCCGAUCCCGGGGGACGGGCCCGAAAGGCAGCGGCGGCAUCGCGUCCGGUCCUCGAGCGUAUGGGGCUUUGUCACCCGCUCUGUAGGCCCGGCCGGCGCUUGCCGAUCAACCCAAAUUUUCAUCCAGGUUGACCUCGGAUCAGGUAGGGAUACCCGCUGAACUUAAGCAUAUCAAUAAGCGGAGGA
This 345-nucleotide unclassified non-coding RNA is filed under the name soil metagenome. RNAcentral describes it as "partial contains 5.8S ribosomal RNA, internal transcribed spacer 2, and large subunit ribosomal RNA". The stretch from base 1 to 119 matches the Rfam family "5.8S ribosomal RNA", at positions 35 to 154 of the family's 154-position model. The record is from RNAcentral.